Molecule: small nuclear RNA, 185 nt
Organism: Hippoglossus stenolepis (Pacific halibut)
Lineage: Eukaryota; Metazoa; Chordata; Actinopteri; Pleuronectiformes; Pleuronectidae
Product: U2 spliceosomal RNA
Exons: 1
Source: RefSeq, a predicted model, not a curated record
UCAGCUUCUCGGCAUGCAGCUAAGAUCAAGUGUAGUAUCUGUUCUUAUCAGUUUAAUAUCUGAUAUGUCCUCUAUAUGAGGACCUAAUAACCGAUUUUUUGGCAUGAGGGCAGAAAUUUUGAGCUUGCUCCUUUCUCUCACGCAUCGACCUAGCAUUUGGUCCGCUGCAAGACAGUGCACUCUGU